RNAcentral lists this long non-coding RNA (1305 nucleotides) under Triticum aestivum (bread wheat). RNAcentral's name for it is "long non-coding RNA (TAES_LNC022070)". Lineage: Eukaryota; Viridiplantae; Streptophyta; Magnoliopsida; Poales; Poaceae. The record is from RNAcentral.
UCAAGUAGUUCAUGUGAAAUGACUUUGGGAAUGGGGCGGUUCACCGGGGUAAUAAGCGGUAGCACCUCAUGCUGACAUGGAGUGCACGAUCGAGGUAUGUAUUUUCAGCUUGUUAGUCGGGAUGAAGUGUGAUACAUCAUAAUAUUUCUCUGCAUGAACUGUCAGGGACAUAACCACGUCCACUUAAUCCAAUUUAUCCAUGUUCAGUUCCUUAGAUUUCCUACCUAUGUCUGGAUUUACCAUUUAUUAUUUGACUAGGAAAAUUGCAUUGUUCAUCGCUUCAGAGAUCAAGUGAAAUUGUAGGUUGUAUCACUCUUUAGUUUGUUAACAAUCUGUUCACGGAGUCACUACUCCAUGAUCACAUAAGACACAUAUGUUAAGGUCAAGAAUUUGUCAUCUAUACUUGUGUUCCCUUUUUAGUUAUGCUGACCUUGAGAGAGUCAAUUAUUGGAACAAUUGAAUUAUUUGAAAAGUAAAUUGCCAGUCUGUUACAUGUGGGAAGAGGCCUUUUGGAACAAGUGAAUUAUUUGAAAACAAAAAUAUUCAAAUUGUUAAAAGUGAUGUUUCUCUCCAAGUACAAUUCUAUGCAAGCACUGAUCUUUAAAUUGAAGGUGAUUAUUCUUUUUAAGAAGGCAGAAUGAGUCACUUUGGUGUAUAUGAUCCUAUGGUUUUUUCUAUUGAUUGCUAUGUUUGUUCUUAUUAUAUCCUCUAGCUGACCCGACUUGCCAUUUCAUACUGAUGCUAUUAGAUUGGGUGCUCAUGCACGAGGGUUACUUCUCUUAAGGGUGUGUUACUGUUUAUUUAUGGUUUAGACUUGAACACAUUCUUCCGUUUGAAAGCAAUAUGUGCCACUCUCUAAUGAUAAUGGUAACUAAUUAUUCAUUUAACACAUGCAGAUUAUCAGAUACUACCGGAUGUCGCUGCUUUGCAGCAUCAGAUUUAUGUUGGUGAGCUCGUCCAUGUUGCUCAUGGAAUGGCUUGAUGUGAAAGAAAAUGGGCCCAUAGGUCGGGAAGAGAUGCUUUGAUUGAGCAUAAGCAUGGUGUUGUUAGAAUUUUUGAUAUUAGUUAGAUCUUUAGAUAGCAUUUGUUUGGAGGUCGGAUAGUCUUAUUAUGAGAGACUAAUGGGUAUGCAUUAUGCUUAUAUAAAAAUAUACAAUAUCACCUGUUGUGAUAUAGGUUAGCCAUGAUCAGUGUUUAUCCACCAGAAUUUGUAUGUCACCGUUGCAACGCACGGGCAAACUAACUAGUCUUAUAUAAACUUGGAAAGAGUUGAUAAUUCCCGCAUGAAAUAAAGGGGAGUUUCAU